RNAcentral lists this long non-coding RNA (791 nucleotides) under Fragaria vesca (wild strawberry). Its description in RNAcentral is "long non-coding RNA (FVES_LNC002563)". The record is from RNAcentral. Lineage: Eukaryota; Viridiplantae; Streptophyta; Magnoliopsida; Rosales; Rosaceae.
UAAAAUACAAUAACUAAUCGUCAUUAAAAUCAACAUCCCUUAAAUAUAUAAUAAUAGUCAUAGCAAAAAAGGUCUAUAAAAUCAACAACAAAAAGCAUUGUCUAGCAGCAAUAGCCAUAAUAGCAAAAACUACAUCUAAGGUUUUCCUCUUCCACAACAACCUACUCAGAUUCUUCAAGGUUUGGGUUUUCUGUGAGCGAUCGAUUUGUUCCUCCUCUGUUUGAAUUGGAGAAUGGAGGAGCUUUGUGGAGUUGUUGUGCUUUGGGAAUGUUGUGUAGGCACAUGAGGAGGUUCUGAUUCUUCCACAUUUUGUGAAACUUGUUGUUGCUGCAUUUGCACAUUGUCCACAUUUUGAGCAGCCUCUUGCUGGGCAUUCUCCUCAUUUUGAGCAACCUCUUGUUGUGCGGCUUGCGCUGCCUAAAAACCAAAUACCAUACAAUAAUCUCAGCACCACAUUUAACACAAGUUAUAAGCUAUUUAUACAAUCACUCAUAACUAUCUCUUUACACCAUAUUUAUAAGAAUUUAUAAUAUCAUCACCAUUCAUAACAACAAAUUUAACACAAGAUAAAGAAAAAUAAGGCCUAAAAACCAUACUUGUUGCCUUCUUAAGCAGGUCCUACUGUUGUGGCCUUCCUUCCCAUAUUUUCCACAACUAAUUUGUGUGUAAUAUGCCUUAGACAACUUAUCUGCACCAGGUGGUGGGGCUGCUUCACCUUUUUAACCAGUCACAGAGAAAUAUAUUCCUUAUAUAUAUGAACAUAAACAACAAGAAAUUAAAAAAAAAAAUAC